UAGAUACCCUGGUAGUCCACGCCCUAAACGAUGUCAAUUAGCUGUUGGGGUACUAGAUGCCUUAGUAGCGAAGCUAACGCGUGAAAUUGACCGCCUGGGGAGUACGGUCGCAAGAUUAAAACUCAAAGGAAUUGACGGGGACCCGCACAAGCGGUGGAUGAUGUGGAUUAAUUCGAUGCAACGCGAAGAACCUUACCUGGUCUUGACAUGUACGGAAUCUCUCAGAGACGGGAGAGUGCCUUCGGGAGCC
Molecule: ribosomal RNA, 250 nt
Filed under: uncultured bacterium
Lineage: Bacteria
Description: partial 16S ribosomal RNA
Rfam family: Bacterial small subunit ribosomal RNA
Source: RNAcentral